AAAUUUUUAUUUAUUAAUUUUAUUGUUUUUUAUUUUAUUUUAUUAUAAAUAAUUUUAUUUAAAUUAAUGGUUUUGUAUUUUAUAAAGAUAUACUAAUAUUUAUUAUAGUUAAUUUGUAUUGUAAAAGAAUAUUGAAAUAUUUUGAAAAAUUUUUUAAUAAAAAGAACUUUUAAUUUAAGGUAUCUUGUGUAUCAGAGUUUAUUAAUUGAUAAUUAGUUAUAAUUAAUUUUCUCGAAUUAAAAAGAUUUAAUAAAUUAUUUUAGUUAUUGUGGAAUAAUUAUUAAUAAUAAUUUAUUAGAAAUGAAAUGUUAAUCGUUUUUUAAUAUAUCUAGUUUUUUAAGAAAUUAAUUUAAUUUAGGUAUUUUAUUUUAAUUUUUUAUUUCUUUUUAAAUAAUUAUAAUUAAAUAUUAAUAUUUUAAGGGAUGAGCUUUAAAAUAAAGUUUUAUAAAUAAUUUUAUUAAUUAAUAAUUGUAAGCUUAGAAUUAGUUAUCAAUAGAAAUUAUGUUUUAAUUUAUUUUAAUUUUAAUAUUAUUUAGUAUUUAUUUUAAAGAUUUUAUUAAAUUAUAAAUUUUAAUCUUAUAAAUUUAGAAAUAAUGAUAAAAUUAGUAAAUAAUUUUAAUUAUAUAAAUAUUUUUUUUUAUUGAUUGGUUUUUUUAAUUAAUUCGGCAAAUUUUAUAUUCACCUGUUUAUCAAAAACAUGUCUUUUUAGUAUUUAAUAUAAAGUCUGGCCUGCCCACUGAAUAAUAUUUGAAGGGCCGCAGUAUUUUGACUGUGCAAAGGUAGCAUAAUCAUUAGUCUUUUAAUUGAAGGCUGGUAUGAAUGGUCGGAUGAGAUAUAAGCUGUGUCAAAAAAAUUAUUAUUUGAAUUUAACUUUUUAGUUAAAAGGCUAAAAUAAAUUUAAAAGACGAGAAGACCCUAUAGAGCUUUAUAUAAUAAAUAUUUAAGUUAUUAAGAUUUAUUAAAUUUAAUUUUUAUAUUGUAUUUUGUUGGGGUGACAAUAAAAUUUAUAAAACUUUUAUUUUUAUUUAACAUUAAUUUAUGAUUAUAUGAUCCAAUUUUAUUGAUUAUAAAUUUAAGUUACCUUAGGGAUAACAGCGUAAUUUUUUUUGAGAGUUCUUAUCGACAAAAAAGAUUGCGACCUCGAUGUUGGAUUAAGAGUAAUUUUGGGUGUAGAAGUUCAAAAUUUAAGUCUGUUCGACUUUUAAAUUCUUACAUGAUCUGAGUUCAAACCGGUGUAAGCCAGGUUGGUUUCUAUCUUUGAUUAAAUUAAAUAUUUUAGUACGAAAGGACCAAAUAUUAAAAAAAUUAUUUUUAUUUUAAUAUAAAUUUUAUUAAUUU
Molecule: ribosomal RNA, 1338 nt
Filed under: Simulium quinquestriatum
Lineage: Eukaryota; Metazoa; Arthropoda; Insecta; Diptera; Simuliidae
Description: 16S ribosomal RNA
Rfam family: Archaeal large subunit ribosomal RNA (bases 1088-1246)
Source: RNAcentral